CGCAAGAUUAAAACUCAAAUGAAUUGACGGGGGCCCGCACAAGCGGUGGAGCAUGUGGUUUAAUUCGAUGCAACGCGAAGAACCUUACCUACUCUUGACAUCCAGAGNACUUUCCAGAGAUGGAUUGGUGCCUUCGGGAACUCUGAGACAGGUGCUGCAUGGCUGUCGUCAGCUCGUGUUGUGAAAUGUUGGGUUAAGUCCCGCAACGAGCGCAACCCUUAUCCUUGUUUGCCAGCGAGUAAUGUCGGGAACUCCAGGGAGACUGCCGGUGAUAAACCGGAGGAAGGUGGGGACGACGUCAAGUCAUCAUGGCCCUUACGAGUAGGGCUACACACGUGCUACAAUGGCGCAUACAGAGGGCAGCCAACUUGCGAAAGUGAGCGAAUCCCAAAAAGUGCGUCGUAGUCCGGAUUGGAGUCUGCAACUCGACUCCAUGAAGUCGGAAUCGCUAGUAAUCGUGGAUCAGAAUGCCACGGUGAAUACGUUCCCGGGCCUUGUACACACCGCCCGUCACACCAUGGGAGUGGGCUGCAAAAGAAGUAGGUAGUUUAACCUUCGGGGGGACGCUUA
RNAcentral lists this ribosomal RNA (570 nucleotides) under Vibrio sp. RNAcentral describes it as "bacterial SSU rRNA". It matches the Rfam family "Bacterial small subunit ribosomal RNA", at positions 887 to 1456 of the family's 1533-position model. Lineage: Bacteria; Pseudomonadati; Pseudomonadota; Gammaproteobacteria; Vibrionales; Vibrionaceae. The record is from RNAcentral.